AGGACGAACGCUGGCGGCGUGCUUAACACAUGCAAGUCGAGCGGAAAGGCCCUUCGGGGUACUCGAGCGGCGAACGGGUGAGUAACACGUGAGUAAUCUGCCCUUAGCUCUGGGAUAGCUCCGGGAAAACCGGGAUUAAUACCAGAUACGACCACUUUAGACAUCUGCCGUGGUGGAAAGAAUUUCGGCUAAGGAUGAGCUCGCGGCCUAUCAGCUUGUUGGUGGGGUAACGCCUACCAAGGCGACGACGGGUAGCCGGCCUGAGAGGGCGACCGGCCACACUGGGACUGAGACACGGCCCAGACUCCUACGGGAGGCAGCAGUGGGGAAUAUUGCACAAUGGGCGAAAGCCUGAUGCAGCGACGCCGCGUGAGGGAUGACGGCCUUCGGGUUGUAAACCUCUUUCAGCAGGGACGAAGCGAAAGUGACGGUACCUGCAGAAGAAGCACCGGCCAACGUACGCGCCAGCAGCCGCGGUAA
This 480-nucleotide ribosomal RNA is filed under the name uncultured bacterium. Its description in RNAcentral is "SSU rRNA". It matches the Rfam family "Bacterial small subunit ribosomal RNA", at positions 26 to 523 of the family's 1533-position model. The record is from RNAcentral.